Molecule: ribosomal RNA, 297 nt
Filed under: Python molurus (Indian rock python)
Lineage: Eukaryota; Metazoa; Chordata; Lepidosauria; Squamata; Pythonidae
Description: partial small subunit ribosomal RNA
Rfam family: Bacterial small subunit ribosomal RNA
Source: RNAcentral
ACCACUACGAGUGAAAACUUAAAACUUAAAGGACUUGACGGUACUUCACCCAACCUAGAGGAGCCUGUCUAAUAACCGAUAACCCACGAUUAAUCCAACCACUUCUAGCCACCCAGUCUAUAUACCGCCGUCGCCAGCUCACCUUGCAAAAGAAACAAAGUGAACCAAAUAGUCAUACACUAACACGACAGGUCGAGGUGUAACUAAUGAAGUGGACUAAGAUGGGCUACAUUUUCUAAUACAGACCAUACGAAUAAAGACAUGAAACUGUUUUUUGAAGGUGGAUUUAGCAGUAAG